Cinara cedri is the source of this 279-nucleotide non-coding RNA. The record is from the annotation of a GenBank genome assembly. NCBI's taxonomy places the organism in Eukaryota, Metazoa, Arthropoda, Insecta, Hemiptera, Aphididae.
CCGUCUACGAUCAGCUAGAAAUUUAAGGUCAAGAACCUUUAAGACUAGAGUGUAAUCGUGUUUGGGACAUUGAAUGCCUAAAAUAAAAUUUAAGUUCUUUAAAAAUUUAUGUUGGACUCUUUCAAUCUGCAAAGAACCAUUUGUAGUAUGUGAGUUCCAAAUUAGUGAACCGUAUUCCAAAAUGGGUAUCACAAAUGCACAAUAUAAAGUUUUGACCGUGUAUUUUAGAAAAAUUCCUUAAGUCAGUUUCAUUACGAACCCUAGAGUUUUCAACCACUU